Molecule: long non-coding RNA, 836 nt
Organism: Oenanthe melanoleuca
Lineage: Eukaryota; Metazoa; Chordata; Aves; Passeriformes; Muscicapidae
Exons: 3
Source: RefSeq, a predicted model, not a curated record
GAUGUAAAAGGAGCUCUGGGUGGCUGAAGUUGGCACCUCAGACAGCUUGUUCUUCUCUGACUGAAGCCUUGAUGAUGUGUUUGAAGCAGCCUAGGUGCCUCUGAGCAGUGCUGAUUUCUGCACCUUGCUUUUUUGGGAAGGAUGUUAUUUGCUGCAAAGGAACUGGAAGAAGAUGGCAUUUCGAAUAUAGAAAAUUCAUGACCUGCUCUAUUUCUGUGAGGCUGCUUCAGUGAGAGCAUGAUGGAGAUAAGUCAGAUGGAUUCCUUAUCUUCCUGUUGAGACACUGAAUCUUCUGCUGCAGACUUACUUGGUGUUUUCCUCUCAUGUUUGUGAGCUUUCCACCAAUAGGUAGUUAAAAAAUAGCAAAAUUAAACUUUUGGCUGGCAGAACUGAGUGCUGUGGUUUCACUGUUCCUGAACAUGGAAUCAUUAAGGUUGGAAAACACCUCCAAGAUCAUCAAGUUCAGCCUUUGACCAGUCACCACCUUGUUAAGCAGACCAGAACACUGUGUGCUCUAUCCAGAGACAAUCCUAAUCCUGCAGUGCUGUUAAUUUGAGCUUCUUUUCAGAAAUAUUUCCUAUGGAGAACAUCUGAAAGUAUAGUGGUAGCAGUUAAGACUCAAUGUCUGCAGAUGUGUCUGAAUGUUAAAUUAGGGGAUAUUAAUCAAGAUGUGAUAUGACAAAGUUUGUCAUUAAUGAUGAAUAAACUUCAUAUGUAGAACACAAAAAUUGAUGCCUGUGUUUUUGAGUAUCUUAACUUCAGGGUUUUUUUUCCUUUAGGGAGUAUCCACAUUAAGAAGUGCCUUUUUUUGGGGGUUCAGAUGUGUUGUAAGCCUC